Molecule: long non-coding RNA, 522 nt
Filed under: Capsicum annuum
Lineage: Eukaryota; Viridiplantae; Streptophyta; Magnoliopsida; Solanales; Solanaceae
Description: long non-coding RNA (CANN_LNC014142)
Source: RNAcentral
AUUCAUACAAAAUACAAUACUUAUAGAAGUCUCAAGAUAUAUAGAUGAAACACAUAAUUAUAUCCAAAACAUCAACAUUAACAAGCAUCUAUCAACUAUUCUUAAAAGAACCCACAUCCAUCAAGUAUAUAUUAUUGUUACACAAUUGGUACAUAUAAUCAAAAUUGACCAUCAAAAACCAAUGCACUGAUUAAGGAUUACAAUCAUCAUCACAAUUCAAAGGAUCAAGAUCGUCAAAUGUAGUAGCACAAGGUGUCACAACUAAUUGUGAUGAAAUCAACUUCCGCAACUCCUCAAUGACAAUAGGAAUAAACUGCUUUUUAAGUGUGGGAAUUAAUUGCUUCACAAACUCAUCAAAAUCUGCAGUUGGUUCUAAUUCAUGAGAAGCUGCUGAUGAUGCCUUUCAAGAAGAAGACCUUGUCUGUGGUAGCCUUUUGCUUCAGAUCCAAGACCAAAUACACUUUGGUGUUUUGUCCUCUAGCAGCUAGGUAAUAUGCUUCAUAUUGAUCAAUAUUAGAUUGU